RNAcentral lists this long non-coding RNA (411 nucleotides) under Brassica napus (rape). RNAcentral's name for it is "long non-coding RNA (BNAP_LNC026521)". The record is from RNAcentral. Lineage: Eukaryota; Viridiplantae; Streptophyta; Magnoliopsida; Brassicales; Brassicaceae.
GAUUAGAGUUAGUAUAUGGAACUAAGGGUAUUUGGGAUUUAAGGGUAUAAAAGAUUAAGGGUAUAUGAGAUCAGGUGUAUGUAUAGAAAUAGGGUUAUUUGGGAAUUAGGGAUCUAUUGAAAUAGGAGUAUUUGGGAUUAGAGGUAUUUGAGAUUAGGGUUAUUUGGGAUUAAUAGAUCUUUAGGAAAAGGGGUAUAUGGGAUUUAGGGAUAUUUGAAAUUAAGUGAGUAUUUGGGAUUAGAGGUAUUUGAGAUUAGGGUUAUUUGGGAUUAAUAGAUCUUUAGGAAAAGGGGUAUAUGGGAUUUAGGGAUAUUUGAAAUUAAGUGAUAUAUGAGAAUAUGAGUAUUUGGGGGUUUAGGGAUUAAAGGGUAUAUGAAAAUAAAGGGUAUUUGAGAUUAAAGAGUAUUAGGG